GGGGGGGGGGGGGGGGGGGCCGAACGCAGGGAGGUCGAGCGGCGGCGCCGUGGGAGCUUGCUCUGACGGGUGGGGGGUGGCGGGCGGGUGAGGAAUACCUCGGCAGCUCCUGUUUGGGGGGGGAUGACGCAGGGAACCUUACGCUCCUACACAAUACGACCUCCUGGUUAAAUCAUGGGCGCCUCGGACCUUUCGCGCAUGCAUCAGCCGAUUUCGGGUUCGCUAGUUGGCGGGUUAAAGGCCCCCAACGGCGACGAUCCGUCGCUGGUCUGCCAGGAUGAUCAGCCACACUGGAACUGAGAGACGGUCCAGACUCGUACGGGAGGCAGCAGUGGGGAAUAGUGGACAAGGGGCGCAAGCCUGAGCCAGCCAUACCGCGUGGGUGAAGAAGGCCUUCGGGUUGUAAAGCCCUUUUGUUGGGAAAGAAAAGCAGCAGGUUAAUACCCCGCUGUUCUGACGGUACCCAAAGAAUAAGCACCGGCUAACUUCGUG
Molecule: ribosomal RNA, 492 nt
Filed under: uncultured bacterium
Lineage: Bacteria
Description: partial 16S ribosomal RNA
Rfam family: Bacterial small subunit ribosomal RNA
Source: RNAcentral